UGGGGAAUAUUGCACAAUGGCGGGAACUCUGAUGCAGCGACGCCGCGUGAGUGAUGAAGGAAUUCGUUUCGUAAAACUCUGUUCUAUGGGAAGAAAAGGCCUGUACCAUAGGAGAAAGCUCCGGCUAAAUACGUGCCAGCAGCCGCGGUAAUACGUAUGGAGCGAGCGUUGUCCGGAAUUAUUGGGCGUAAAGGGUGCGCAGGCGGCUUUACAAGUUGGAUGUGAAAUAUUGUGGCUCAACCACAAACGUGCAUCCAAAACUGCAAAGCUUGAGUUAAGGAGAGGUAAGUGGAAUUCCUGGUGUAGCGGUGGAAUGCGUAGAUAUCAGGAGGAAUACCGGUGGCGAAGGCGACUUACUGGACUUAAACUGACGCUCAGGCACGAAAGCGUGGGGAGCAAACAGG
Molecule: ribosomal RNA, 404 nt
Filed under: Fusobacteriota bacterium
Lineage: Bacteria; Fusobacteriati; Fusobacteriota
Description: Fusobacteria bacterium partial 16S ribosomal RNA
Rfam family: Bacterial small subunit ribosomal RNA
Source: RNAcentral